Molecule: ribosomal RNA, 303 nt
Filed under: Triticum aestivum (bread wheat)
Lineage: Eukaryota; Viridiplantae; Streptophyta; Magnoliopsida; Poales; Poaceae
Description: partial small subunit ribosomal RNA
Source: RNAcentral
AUGGCUCGUCUUCCUUUGGCCACCACGAGAUCUCGACGAAGGAAUUUAGCAUUUAGGAAUAUUUCGAUUAGCAUCAUGCUUAUGUACUUUUAUAUAUGGUUAUUAUUUGCACUAGUCUAUAAAAGGAGGUUGUGGAAGAUAGAAAAGAGGAUUAGAAAUAGAGAACUUAGAGCCGCACAUUUGUACUAACUCAUUGGCGAGAGUGAUGUAGCUUGCUGGUGGUCUAGAGUUCACAAGGAACACAUCGCUGGAAGAGAUAGUGGCUACAUUUCUCUACAUAAUAUCACACCAUCUAAAAAAUAG